This is a long non-coding RNA of Papaver somniferum (opium poppy), 951 nucleotides long. RefSeq lists it as uncharacterized. The transcript has 2 exons. Lineage: Eukaryota; Viridiplantae; Streptophyta; Magnoliopsida; Ranunculales; Papaveraceae. The record is from RefSeq and is a predicted model, not a curated record.
CCGCCGUAAGAGAAAAUGUAUUUCUUCGCUUAUGUUCAUAGAAGAAGAUCUAAUGGAGUUUAAAGAGUGGGGAAGGAUGAUCAACGCUAUAUUUCUGACACCUCUUGUAUGAGAAGAACCCUAAAAAAGUUCUUCCUUUGAGCACACUGAUGAUGAUGUAUCCAAUUAAUUGAGGUAUAGUGGAACUGAGACCCUGUUUACAGGGAGAACCCCUUGGCGAAGCUAUAUUUCAAAUGACAUCAAUGGAUCUAGCUGAGGCAUUUUAUCAUUUGUCUUUUCAGUUUGGGGUUCAAUUUCAGACUUAAAGUUCUGUGAUGACACUAUUGUGGACUAGAGUUUCUGAUUGGGGCACUUCACCCUAAUAUUUGAUUACAAACCCUUGGCUGUCUGAGAACUUUUAUACAUUGUAUAAUAACUUUCGUAUUUACUUGUGUUUAUUGCUAUGCUGAUGAUGAUUGUGUCCAAUCACCUGAGAUGUAGUGGAACUGAGACCCUGUUUACAGGGAGAACCCCUUGGGGAAAUUGCAUUUCACAUGAAAUUAAUGGAUAAUUCUGAGGCAUUCAGCUAAUGUAGUUAUUUUGUCUUCUUAAGUUUAGUUUUGACUACUGCUUUGUUUAUCAUGAUUGAGUUUUAACUAUUCUACAUUUCACAAUUAACUGGUUGACAUGUAGACUGAAAAAACUCAUAAAGUGUGUGUUGUCUAUCAGCUUCUUCUUUCGAAAUUUACGAGACCGCAGUUAAACUACAACACUAUAUUAUUUUACAUGCUAGGCUAACUAAAUCCAAGCUUGGGAUUACGUGGAUUUCAUAUAAAAAGCCAAUUUGCAGAGCAAAGUCGUCUAAUUGAUGACCUAACAUUUGCAUUGAAGGUUGGCAAUAAUAAGCAACGAUUCUCCGUGCCUAUCAAAACCUCAAUUUUGAACAAGGCCUCGAACAAGUCGAUACAUUUC